UCAAGUACCGUGAGGGAAAGUUGAAAAGCACUCUGAAGAGAGAGUCAAAAGACCGUGAAACCGUUCAGAGUAUAAGCCAAUGGAGCUUGGAAGGCUUCCGCAGCGGCGUGCAUCAUGCGUGGUGUAUCGAAUGAUCAGAGCGCGGUUCGUCAGGCGGAGCAUUGAGUUUGCCGCUUAGCUGUCGUACGGGGGGACGAGUCGGGGGUCUGAGGCUUCGGCCGAGGAGCUCUCGGCCGUCUUCUUAAGAAUGGACGUUCAGAGCUAUUGGUCUAAUGCGGAUAUGCCCACCACGGCACGUUGCGAGGUCACCCACAGGCUCAACUGCCGAUCGCGUAUCCAGGACGAUGGCAACGAUGCGUAGUUCUGCUCGGAAACGAGUUAUCACGCGUGUCUAGUCCUGGGUCGGGCGGCGACCGAGAUAAACCUGGUAUGAUCCUCUAGCGACGAGCUGCUUUCUGGCCAGACCGACGUCCGGGCGCUUCCACUGUGCCGGAAGUGUCAAUCCCAGGCGGUUUGUUCCCUGCUGCAUUCUGCAAGGUCUCUCAGCCGGGCGUUGGUCUGAGUGGUGUUAAGUCCAGCACCAUCGGUCACGUCUCGAAACACGGGCCAAGGAGUAUAGCAUGUGUGCAAGUCUAAGGGUCACAUAAAACCCGAAGGCGAAGUGAAAGCGAGACCGAGGCGGGGGAGCUUCGGCGAACCCGCCGGCCUUGAGGCGCGCGCGCCCUGCCUGCGUGCGUGCGCUCUUUUGAGUGCUAGCGUGCGGGUGGGUGUGUGUGCGCAGCCCGGCUUUUGUCAGAGCUGAUCCUGUUUUCACGGUAAAUUCUUGGUGCAGGCGCAAGCUCCGGGCUCACGCAUAACACUGGUCGCCUCGUGUGGCUGUGUUGUGAGCACCGUGGAGCAUGCAUGCUAUGACCCGAAAGAUAGUGAACUAUGCCUGGCGAGGGCGAAGCCCCAGGAAACUGGGGUGGAGGCCCGUAGCCGUUGUGACGUGCAAAUCCAUGGUAUCAGCUGGGCAUAGGGCGAAAGACCAAUCGA
Molecule: ribosomal RNA, 1035 nt
Filed under: Niphargus kochianus
Lineage: Eukaryota; Metazoa; Arthropoda; Malacostraca; Amphipoda; Niphargidae
Description: eukaryotic LSU rRNA
Rfam family: Eukaryotic large subunit ribosomal RNA
Source: RNAcentral